Molecule: long non-coding RNA, 239 nt
Filed under: Solanum tuberosum (potato)
Lineage: Eukaryota; Viridiplantae; Streptophyta; Magnoliopsida; Solanales; Solanaceae
Description: long non-coding RNA (STUB_LNC004424)
Source: RNAcentral
UAAGUUGCUGGUGGUGGAACAGAACGCCCCAAGAUCAUCUUGUCUCAGUUCCUGCUCGACCAAAAAGUAAAUUUCUUUCUCUUUAUGCUUUUCCCGUCUUUGAAAUAAAACUCUCGUGUGUUGUUUUCUUGAUACCGACUAUAAAUUCUAUCUUGAGUGUAUCCAGCUCUUUGUGUUAGUGUAAUUUUCUCUCGUUUUGUCUCCUCCUAAUCAUGACAGCAAGUAGGGGUUGAGUAUUA